This 253-nucleotide ribosomal RNA is filed under the name uncultured bacterium. RNAcentral's name for it is "partial 16S ribosomal RNA". It matches the Rfam family "Bacterial small subunit ribosomal RNA", at positions 524 to 776 of the family's 1533-position model. The record is from RNAcentral.
UACGUAGGCAGCAAGCGUUGUUCGGAGUUACUGGGCGUAAAGGGUGCGUAGGCGGUUGUUUAAGUUUGGUGUGAAAUCUCCCGGCUCAACCGGGAGGGUGCGCCGAAUACUGAACGGCUAGAGUGCGGGAGAGGAGAGUGGAAUUCCUGGUGUAGCGGUGAAAUGCGUAGAUAUCAGGAGGAACACCGGUGGUGUAGACGGCUCUCUGGACCGUAACUGACGCUGAGGCACGAAGGCGUGGGUAGCAAACAGG